CAAGGAGGCAGCAGGCGCGCAAAUUACCCCACUCCCGGAACGGGGAGGUAGUGACGAAAAAUAACAAUACGGGACUCUUUUGAGACCCCGUAAUUGGAAUGAGUACACUCUAAAUCCUUUAACGAGGAUCAAUUGGAGGGCAAGUCUGGUGCCAGCAGCUGCGGUAAUUCCAGCUCCAAUAGCGUAUAUUAAAGUUGUUGCGGUUAAAAAGCUCGUAGUUGGAUCUCAGCUCGAGACGGAUGGUCCGCCUACCGGUGGUUACUGUCUGUUCUCAGCAUUCAGCCGGUUUCUCUUGAUGAUCUUCACCGGUUGUCUUGGGUGACCGGCAAGUUUACUUUGAAAAAAUUAGAGUGCUCAAAGCAGGCGUGAAAGCCUGAAUAAUGGUGCAUGGAAUAAUGGAAUAGGACCUCGGUUCUAUUUUGUUGGUUUUCGGAACACGAGGUAAUGAUUAAGAGGGACAGACGGGGGCAUUCGUAUUGCGACGCUAGAGGUGAAAUUCUUGGACCGUCGCAAGACGAACUACUGCGAAAGCAUUUGCCAAGAAUGUUUCCAUUAAUCAAGAACGAAAGUUAGAGGUUCGAAGGCGAUCAGAUACCGCCCUAGUUCUAACCAUAAACGAUGCCAGCCAGCGAUCCGGCUGUGUUCCUCAAAUGACACGCCGGGCAGCUUCCGGGAAACCAAAGCUUUUGGGUUCCGGGGGAAUAG
Molecule: ribosomal RNA, 705 nt
Filed under: Leviellus inconveniens
Lineage: Eukaryota; Metazoa; Arthropoda; Arachnida; Araneae; Araneidae
Description: SSU rRNA
Rfam family: Eukaryotic small subunit ribosomal RNA
Source: RNAcentral